CCUACGGCGGCCGCAGUGAGGAAUAUUGGUCAAUGGACGGAAGUCUGAACCAGCCAAGGAGCGUGAAGGAUGACUGCCCUACGGGUUGUAAAAUUCUUUUAUAAAGGAAUAAAGUGAGGCACGUGUGCCUUUUUGUAUGUACUUUAUGUAUAAGGAUCGGCUAACUCCGUGCCAGCAGCCGCGGUAAUACGGUGGAUCCGAGCGUUAUCCGGAUUUAUUGGGUUUAAAGGGAGCGUAGAUGGGUUGUUAAGUCAGUGGUGAAAGUUUGCGGCUCAACCGUAAAAUUGCAAUUGAUACUGGCAGUCUUGAGUACAGUUGAGGUAGGCGGAAUUCGUGGUGUAGCGGUGAAAUGCUUAGAUAUCACGAAGAACGCCGAUUGCGAAGGCAGCUUACUAAACUGCCACUGACAUUGAUGCUCGAAAGUGUGGGUAUCAAACAGGAUUAGAUACCCGGGUAGUC
This 459-nucleotide ribosomal RNA is filed under the name uncultured bacterium. Its description in RNAcentral is "partial 16S ribosomal RNA". It matches the Rfam family "Bacterial small subunit ribosomal RNA", at positions 338 to 795 of the family's 1533-position model. The record is from RNAcentral.